GGGGGAAACGCCCGGUCCCAUUCCGAACCCGGAAGCUAAGCCCCUCUGCGCCGAUGGUACUGCACGGGAGACUGUGUGGGAGAGUAGGUCGCCGCCGGAC
Molecule: ribosomal RNA, 100 nt
Filed under: Sanguibacter inulinus
Lineage: Bacteria; Bacillati; Actinomycetota; Actinomycetes; Micrococcales; Sanguibacteraceae
Source: RNAcentral